GAAUGGCAGCAGCCGUUUUCCAAAAAUCUUACCAUGCCUUUUGGAAAGUUCUAAGAGGAUAUCGUCGUAAUGAUUACUUUCGGUGUAGUUGGUACGGGAUAGAGAAGACUGUGAACGCUUUCAAAGAGGAUAGAACGGUUAGAAACGGAUAUGGGCGGAUAUUUUCGUUCACUGCUCUUCGAGCUGCUCUUCAUCCUGUCAGCAAAAUGUCAAUUUUCAGACAGAUGGAAAAAGAAAGCUAAUAAUUAUUUUGUUCUUCCGAGAAGUAGUUCAGCUGGAAAAUACCAUUAUUUAUGAAUACUGAAUAAAAAAAUUACAAAAAAAUUGUGAUCUUGAAAACGGCAAGAUUGUGUCCUUGAAGAAAUGACGUUUUUGUGGAUGCUCGGGUAGACAUAAAAUAACAUAUGUUUGCUCGGGCAAAAGCCAACUGCUCGCUUUGUGUUCCUCCCGGGAACAUAACGUGUCGUCCGGACGCUGGACAAUAAGCAACGUUGUGAGCCACAUCACCGACGUCCACAAAAUAUAGUGUUCUCCCGGUUCUCUCCAACGCUAAUGCUCUUCAGCGCAGUGACUACCGGCAAGCGUAUCAAUAUUGACCCAACCGACUCAUCUCCAGUUGUUGCAGUGCAGCUCUAGUCAAGGCUCUAGUUGUAUGCUGGACUCUCGGCAGAACUCGGGGGAUGAAGCUGGCAGGUUGAUGCGUGAGAUGAGGGUGAUAAAUUUGAGCGUUUUCAGUAGAUUCAAUCGUUCAGCUAUGUUUUUUAACUCGGUUCAUCAUAAACAAACUUACUUUUCAUCUUAGGGGUAGAUCCGAUGAUUCCGUCGAUUCCAUGGGUAGAUUUCGACUUGGAUUUCGAUUCCGGGUCGUUCCGGGUAAGGAUCAACGAGCCGAUCAGGAUUCCGACUUCUGUUUUGAUUUUUUUUUUCGUUUUGACAUUUCUCUUUCGUAAAAACAUUCUUACUGGAGUGCGUUCACGAUGAAAUCACCGUGAGCGCUUUCAAAUCGUUGGAGGUUUGAACACGGUUAGAAACGGAUAGCGACGGAUAGAUGGGAGUUUGGGAAGGAUAUGAAAAAAACAAUUUCUUAGGAGCAUUUAUUCGGGAGUUUGGAGGAAAAGUAGAGAAAUUCACAAAAAAUCCGGAUCUGCCAUUCCCCUCGGAAUCUACCGUUGAAAAGCUGUUCGAUGGGAGGCGAGUUACACCCUAAACAUUUUUGACAGCUAACCAGCAAAUUUUGGUUUUGCCAUGCUGAAAGCACAGAGAACAGACAUCUAGGCUAGAACAAAUUUCAUUCGGAAAUUUGUGUAAGGAUUUGAAUCUUUACUUGAGUAAGGGAAGAUUCAUUUAUUACGUCCAUCGUUUUUCGGGAUUUCUAUCUCUGGAUAGUAAAUAAAUAUACCCUUUUUGAAAUCAAUUAGUUUGCAAGUUGGUAAUAGAGUUUUGCAUCGAAAUUUAACCUCAAUUUUCUCUCCGAGAGAGAAAAGAACGGCAACGAAUGGGAAUCAAACAAACCUCCGGAAAAUGUCAAAAUUCGCGUGAGAGGGAAAAGGAAGGGACGAACGAGAAUGAACCGAACGUUCAUUCGUGACGUCACCUUGCAGAAUUCUAUACCAGAAUUUAUCUAGGAUUUGUCGCAGAGUGAACAUUUGUUCGAUCUUUGAUCGACCAUCACGAAAAUCAGCUUGGAAUUCGUCGACGAAGGAAUCUUACGGAAAUUAGCGUCCCCUAUCCAUGCCCUUUUUGUAAACAGGACAUGUAACUCUGAAGCCAACUAGCAGGUAGUUUUUCUUCCCAUAUCUUCAAUAGAAUACGGUGAAGUAUUUCAUACAGCUGCUCACUAUCGUGUUUGAAAAAUUGAGCCGGUAAUUCAGCCUUUUCAGCAGCUUUACUGUUCUUCGGCAUUUUAAUAGCUUAUUUUAACUCAUCUAGGGUAAAGGGCUUCACAGUUUGUCCACGACAUGGAAUCGCAAUGGUCGCUGAGCCCUUGAGUUCGCCACGAUUGAUAACCAUGCACGACUCUUACUGACGAGAUAGUGAUCUAAGUUGAUGAUCACUGCUCUACGGCACUAUCAUUGGGUUCGGGGCUUAAAGGCAAAGAUCUAGAACUUUGUCCUAAAACAAACUUAUACCUGCGCUUAUACCUAUUUAGAACGAAUUUUCUUUCGAAUAAAUGAUCAAACCAUUUUGAUUCAUAUAGUUACUUUGUUUUAUUUGCAAUAUUCUCAGAGUUACAUCUAACUGCAGUGGUUUACGCAUAUAUUCCUCCUCCUUCUGUUAUUUCUCUAGUUAAAGGACAUUUCGGCUAAAACCUAUCACCUAGGAAUAAGUUUUGUUUCGUUUUCAGUAUCCGUAUUGUUUUUUUUUUGUCAGAUGUUUGUUCGUUCUUUAUUUUCGGUUUUGCAGAUCGUUUUUUUUUUUCUUCUGUUUGCCUGUAAAAUUGAUUCACAUUUUGGUAACCUUGUGCCAACGAAUCAACUUGAAGCCUCCAUCACAUUAUUGUUUGAAAACUGAACCCGGUUAGCUUUAGUAACAUUAGGUGAGAUUUUGAAUAGGUCUGUUUAGUUGUGUCAUAUAUGUCUAACAUAUAUUUCCUAACGGCUGCUAUAUUUUUGUUAGUAUAAUAGUACAUGUGUGUACACUGUGUCUCUGUUGUGUAUUCGUUCGUAUCAUCUAAAUAUCAGUUCAGUAGUGUGAUCAGAAGAUCAAUUUUCAAUUUUCUGUAAUUUAACAUUAGGGUACAAAGAUAGUUUUACACCAAAACUGCUGGAAUUUGAACUGAGCUACCUAGCUAAGCGCCCUACGAGGUUCGACCGCUAUCUGAAGAAUCAAAAUGUAAUACUAGUUUUAAAUUAUGCGGGUUGUACGGUUGUUUCGGAACAGUAUCCGCACGAUAAUGGUAAAGCUUUUGAACGAUAACCUGCGGAUGUAACUGUUAUUCGGGAUUUGCUUAAACUACAUCUGUUGUAACGAUUAUUGGCGAUUCCUCCUGUCUGUACAUGCUACCAUAGAGUUAGAAUAAAUGAAAAAGAUUUACUCCAAAGUGGUGUUUAUAAAUAUUCAAGCCUGGAAAUGUCGAUUAGUUGAAUUGGAAAGUUGUUAAAAAGGAAACGUUUAGUCCUGCGACUGCCUUUGAACGUAAUUUGAGUAUUUACAGAAGCAGAUUGGGACAAGCGUUGGCGCGCUUUUCGAAUUUACCUGAUUUGCUAACUAGCUAGUCUAUAUGCUAAUAUAAACAUGAAUGUACUUCGGUUCUGUUCUAUAUAA
Molecule: long non-coding RNA, 3264 nt
Organism: Aedes albopictus (Asian tiger mosquito)
Lineage: Eukaryota; Metazoa; Arthropoda; Insecta; Diptera; Culicidae
Exons: 2
Source: RefSeq, a predicted model, not a curated record